CAACUGUACCAGACACCUGAGCAGUCUUCCCCAUCAUAAUCGGAGCUGUCUUGGAUUUCUAAGUUAGAUUACUUCUAAAGCUGGAAGUUGGACACGGUUAAGAAAAGAGUGACCAAAAUGAUCAAGAGGAUGGAGCGACCCCACCUCACCUCCCACCCCAUGAAGAAAGGUUGCAGCAUUUCAGACUUCUCAGUUGAUGGGAAAAGUGAGGAAGAAGCAGCAUGGUAGAAGUUAAUAAAAUCAUGCAUAGCUUGGAGAAGCUAAAUCGCAAAAAGGUUUUCUCCCUCUCUCAUAUCUCUCUAACUUGUGGACAUCUAACAAAGCUGAACGUUGGAGGAAUAAGAUGAAAGAAAGUACUUCUUCACAAAAUGCAUAAUCACAAAACAAUGGAACUGGCUUCCACAGGAGGUGGUGAUGACUAACAACUUGGAUGGGUUUAAAAGAGGAUCAGACAAAUUAAUGGAGGGAAGACUGCAGAUGGC
This is a non-coding RNA of Podarcis lilfordi (Lilford's wall lizard), 482 nucleotides long. Lineage: Eukaryota; Metazoa; Chordata; Lepidosauria; Squamata; Lacertidae. The record is from the annotation of a GenBank genome assembly.